RNAcentral lists this unclassified non-coding RNA (240 nucleotides) under soil metagenome. RNAcentral's name for it is "partial contains 5.8S ribosomal RNA, internal transcribed spacer 2, and large subunit ribosomal RNA". The record is from RNAcentral.
AACAUCGCGCACCUGCGGGAACCUGCGGAGGGAUCAUUACCGAGUUCGCGCCCCCAGGGCGGAUCUCCCACCCCUGUCAUCGCUACGACCGUUGCUUUGGCGGGCCGCCGGGCCCCGCCCGCCGCCGGCUCCGGCCGGCGUGUGCCCGCCAGAGGCCCUGCAGACUCGAGGUGUUCGCGUCGUCUGAGUACCGCAUAAUCGUCAAAACUUUUAACAACGGAUCUCAGAUCGGAAGAGCAC